GCACUGUGGAUAUUGCAGUUAAAAGCAGUAGUUGGGUGUGUCUGGAGAGUGAAGGAGGAAUGGUAGUCACUCAUGGUGAGGAGUGAGGUGAAGCGCUCUGAGGCAGAGGCCAGAGAGGACAUGCCUAGGAGUGAUGUCGUCGGGGAAAGAGGGCCAAGGCAGGAAGGCAGAGGAUCCUAGGCCCCUUGCUAAAGUAAAGGACCAACCAUACUUGCAUAUACUGUGAGAAAGCUGGGAGGAAUGACCUGGCAGGAACAAGUGAAGGAGAGCAGGAUUGUAAGAGGAGGACAGGCUACAAUAAUUAUGAAGAGAAAGCAGAAGGAUCAUGUUGGUUAAGCCACUGAAGUGCAUGCGGGCUGCAGAGGUGAUGGCGCCCUGUGGGUGUGCUUCUGAUAUUGUGAUUGAUGAAAUUGUUGUAUAGGUGAUGCUGCAGGUUAGGGGCAUACAUUCUGUGCAUAUGCUUGUUCACUCUGGUAAAUGAAUGUACUCCUUCAAUUUCAUUUACUAGAAGUGCAUGCGGGCUGCAGUGGUGAUGGCACCCCGUGGGUGUGCUCCUGAUAUUGUGAUUGAUGAAAUUGUUGUAUAGGUGAUGCUGCAGGUUGGGGGCAUACAUUCUGUGCAUAUGCUUGUUCACUCUGGUAAAUGAAUGUACUCCUUCAAUUUCAUUUACUAAUAAAAACACUUGUCUUCAAUUUCAUUUACUAAUAAAAACACUUGUUUUUUAAUUUAUAAUGUUGAUCAGCUGGACUGAAUUUCUUGACAGUAUUUGCCAUCAAUGAAAAGAAAGCAUCUAUUGUUUCUGGGGCAUAUUUCUUCUUUUCUACUAAAUAUCUCAAGUGUAGCAGAUGCACUGUUAUUUUCCUGUGUUUUUCUUUUAUGCGUGAGGCAUUCUUGCUGAGGGAGUGUAGGCCUAUCUUGUGCAACACCAACAGCUUCGUCGCUUAGUACUCUUUCUUGUGUCAUCGUGUUCUGAAUUAUCUGAAUCUCCUGCUUCAUUUUCAGCCUUUUGCUGAGAUGUAACUUGUGUUCUGCCCUUAAUAAAUGCAAACAAAAAGAACGUUUGAUCCUCAAACUGACAUUUCUGGCAGCCAACAGCAGCCUGCCCACUCUGUUUUCUUAUUUUUGUGUUUACGAUACUGCGAUCGCAGGCAUUCCCAGCGUUCCUUACACUUAUACCCUGAAAAUAAGAAGAAAAUGGAUUAGUUAUUCCCUCCAUUGUUUCA
This is a long non-coding RNA of Portunus trituberculatus (swimming crab), 1223 nucleotides long. RefSeq lists it as uncharacterized. The record is from RefSeq and is a predicted model, not a curated record. Lineage: Eukaryota; Metazoa; Arthropoda; Malacostraca; Decapoda; Portunidae. The transcript has 3 exons.